AUGGGGCUGUUGUGCAGCCAUAUCCUGAAGUUUCUCGACUUCAUUCGUGUUACGGAGAUCCCAAAGAAGCACAUUGUGAAAAGGUGGACAAGAGAUGCAAGAGAUAUACUUCCAGCUCACCUGAUGCAGUACCAGAGAGACAAUGCUCAGGAAAACCCGUUUUGUUUCCGGCAUUUCAACAUGUAUAUGCAAGCCAUGGAGCUUGUUCGGAUGGGAGACUCAAGUGUGGCAGCUUAUGAGCACUUGAUCUCGCUAUUCAAACACUGUGCAGAAGAGAUGAAACCAUUUACAGACGUCCGAGAUGGCCUUGGUUUGGAAGACAGGUUAGCAUGUAGUACUAGGAUUGAUAACAGGAUGCAAUCAGGAGGCGAUGUAUGCGAAGCAGUAGAAGGUACAGAGGUUAACAACGGCAACGAUGACAGCAAUUCAGCUAAUCAGUCUGAGAAUAGGCUAGGGAACCUGCUAGCACCAGCCAGGCGGAAGAAAGUUGGCAGGCCAACAAGUAGGGAGAAGGCUCCGUAUGAAGGUUUAAGUAACAAGUAG
RNAcentral lists this ribosomal RNA (543 nucleotides) under Triticum aestivum (bread wheat). RNAcentral's name for it is "partial small subunit ribosomal RNA". Lineage: Eukaryota; Viridiplantae; Streptophyta; Magnoliopsida; Poales; Poaceae. The record is from RNAcentral.